AUUGAACGCUGGCGGAAUGCUUUACACAUGCAAGUCGAACGGCAGCACGGACUUCGGUCUGGUGGCGAGUGGCGAACGGGUGAGUAAUGUAUCGGAACGUGCCCAGUCGUGGGGGAUAACGUAGCGAAAAUUACGCUAAUACCGCAUACGAUCUAUGGAUGAAAGCGGGGGAUCGCAAGACCUCGCGCGAUUGGAGCGGCCGAUAUCAGAUUAGGUAGUUGGUGGGGUAAAGGCCCACCAAGCCAACGGUCUGUAGCUGGUCUGAGAGGACGACCAGCCACACUGGAACUGAGACACGGUCCAGACUCCUACGGGAGUCAGCAGUGGGGAAUUUUGGACAAUGGGCGAAAGCCUGAUCCAGCCAUUCCGCGUGCAGGAUGAAGGCCCUCGGGUUGUAAACUGCUUUUGUACGGAACGAAAAGGUCUCUCUUAAUACGGGGGGCUCAUGACGGUACCGUAAGAAUAAGCACCGGCUAACUACGUGCCAGCCGCCGCCGUAA
This 500-nucleotide ribosomal RNA is filed under the name uncultured bacterium. RNAcentral's name for it is "partial 16S ribosomal RNA". It matches the Rfam family "Bacterial small subunit ribosomal RNA", at positions 30 to 523 of the family's 1533-position model. The record is from RNAcentral.